This 465-nucleotide ribosomal RNA is filed under the name uncultured bacterium. Its description in RNAcentral is "partial 16S ribosomal RNA". It matches the Rfam family "Bacterial small subunit ribosomal RNA", at positions 28 to 506 of the family's 1533-position model. The record is from RNAcentral.
GAUGAACGCUGGCGGCGUGCUUAACACAUGCAAGUCGAACGAUGAAGCCCAGCUUGCUGGGCGGAUUAGUGGCGAACGGGUGAGUAACACGUGAGUAACCUGCCCUUGACUCUGGGAUAAGCCCGGGAAACUGGGUCUAAUACCGGAUAGGAGCGCCUGUCGCAUGACGGGUGCUGGAAAGAUCUUUCGGUCAUGGAUGGACUCGCGGCCUAUCAGCUUGUUGGUGAGGUAACGGCUCACCAAGGCGACGACGGGUAGCCGGCCUGAGAGGGUGACCGGCCACACUGGGACUGAGACACGGCCCAGACCCCUACGGGAGGCAGCAGUGGGGAAUAUUGCACAAUGGGCGAAAGCCUGAUGCAGCGACGCCGCGUGAGGGAUGACGGCCUUCGGGUUGUAAACCUCUUUCAGCAGGGAAGAAGCGAAAGUGACGGUACCUGCAGAAGAAGCACCGGCUAACUACGU